Molecule: long non-coding RNA, 254 nt
Filed under: Elaeis guineensis (African oil palm)
Lineage: Eukaryota; Viridiplantae; Streptophyta; Magnoliopsida; Arecales; Arecaceae
Description: long non-coding RNA (EGUI_LNC058629)
Source: RNAcentral
AGGAGGAUAUAUCGUUUAGUCCUUAAAUCUUAAGUUCAUGAUCAAAUGAUAUACUAUUAUUAGGAUGAUAGCUAUAUCAAGUAUAGAUCGUUGUGUGCCAUGUACGUUGGUUGUCUUCUUAACCAAAGAGUGUGGAGAUACUGGCAUGGCAUGCAAGUGAGAUGUAGGAGUACAUCUCACUGAAUGUGACCAAUUGCUGAGCGCUUUGCUGUGAAGAGUAGCUCGCGGAGGAUAUGGAUAUAAGUGUCCCUCCA